UACAGAGGGUGCGAGCGUUAAUCGGAAUUACUGGGCGUAAAGCGCGCGUAGGCGGCUUUGCAAGCCGGAUGUGAAAUCCCCGGGCUUAACCUGGGAACUGCAUUCGGGACUGCAUUGCUAGAGUAUGGGAGAGGGAAGUGGAAUUUCAGGUGUAGCGGUGAAAUGCGUAGAUAUCUGAAGGAACAUCAGUGGCGAAAGCGACUUCCUGGACCAAUACUGCCGCUCAUGUGCGAAAGCGUGGGGAGCAAACAGG
This 253-nucleotide ribosomal RNA is filed under the name uncultured bacterium. RNAcentral's name for it is "partial 16S ribosomal RNA". It matches the Rfam family "Bacterial small subunit ribosomal RNA", at positions 524 to 776 of the family's 1533-position model. The record is from RNAcentral.